UGGGAACCUUCCCUAUGGUUCGGAAUAGCUCAGGGAAACUUGGGGUAAUACCGGAUAAGCCCUUCGGGGGAAAGAUUUAUCGCCAUUGGAUGGGCCCGCGUCGGAUUAGCUAGUUGGUGAGGUAACGGCUCACCAAGGCGACGACGGGUAGCUGGUCUGAGAGGAUGGCUAGCCACAUUGGGACUGAGACACGGCCCAGACUCCUACGGGAGGCAG
This 216-nucleotide ribosomal RNA is filed under the name uncultured bacterium. RNAcentral's name for it is "partial 16S ribosomal RNA". It matches the Rfam family "Bacterial small subunit ribosomal RNA", at positions 118 to 351 of the family's 1533-position model. The record is from RNAcentral.